GGCUAUACCUGCCGUCACUUUCGCGGGCGCCGCCGGUCCCUCUCCAGCUCAUUGGCGGACGCGCCGGUGACGUCAGGCCAGGGGCGCGAGCCGCGGCGCAGGGAGCCGCCAGGGACUGAGAGGCGGACUCAGCGCCAGAGGAGGAAGCGGAGUCCUGGGCGUGGAGCCCCGGGCGGGGCCCCGGCGGCUGGAGGCGGCGGCCCCGGGCGGCGGGCUGCGGUGGCCGCCGCUGGCCUGUAGGCGCUUCCCCCGUGCCCCUUGCGGCGCUGGAGCCCGUUCCCGGCUUGUCCGGCGCUCCUCGCGCUGCCGGUGGCGCUAGGCGGAGGGGUGCUGCCGCGUCCCUGCAGGAAAGGGAGCUGGAUCGCAGCGACCCGGACGCUAGACUUCCUCUUGCCUGGGAGGAGCUGUUUCGAGUGUGUGUCUCAACUUUCUGCGUCUCGGGAAAGACCCGAUGCAACUGCGUUCUUCCGUCCAAGGCCCUGCUGCUAUCCCGCCUUUGUUUUUAGCAGACCCUGUUCCACGGCUCUAGUCUCGCAUCUCCUGCUGACCCACGAAUCCUGCCAGCUUCUGCAUCCAAGUCAUUUUUGUCCUGAACUUCCUCUCCCAACCAUAUUGCCACUCCGCGCGUUUCAUAACCCCCAUUCUUAGAAGAUUUUUCUGCCUCCCGUGUCAAGGAAAAAGAGAAACUUUCUCCACUUUCCAUUGCCAAACCUACAAAGUGUUAGUCGUUCAGUCGUGUCCGACUUUUUGAGGCACUAUGGACUGCCAGAAGACUGGAGUGGGUGACCAUUCCCUCCAGGGGAGUCUUCUGGACCCAAGGAUGAAAAGUGAAAGUCGCUCAGUCGUGUCCAGCUCUUUGGGAUCCCAUGGUCUGUAGCCCACCAGACUCCUCUGUCCCUGGGAUUCUCCAGGCCAGAAUACUGGAGUGGGAGGUCCAUUCCCUCCAGAGGAUCUUCCCAACCGAGGGAUUGAACCCAGGUCUCCCGUAUUGCAGGCGGAUGCUUUACCGUCUGAACCACCAAGGAAAUCUGAAACUUACAAAGCUACUACUAUUACUAAAAACACGGAUUCUGAAUCUUCCCUCCAUCCUGCUUUUCCUCCAGUAUCAGAGUCCUAUCUUAGAUCAGUAUCUCCCUCUUCACUGGACCCGAGUCAUAGGCAUUUCAUGAACCCCAAACCUUCCUCCCCUCCAGGUGCCCUUCCAGCUGCCCCUCUUGCCUUGUUCCUACUCUCUGUAGCUGAACUCCUUGAAAGGUUGUCUGCCCACGCUUCUCUGGUCUCCCAGAUCGCACUCAGUUCUUGAUUUCUGCAUUCCACUGAAACUGUCUUGGCUACCUGCAGUUAGUAAUACAAAGGACACUGUCCUACUUCGUUAUACCUAAUCUCUUAGCAAAGUUCUUUCUUCCUUCUUAGAACACUCUGGUAAGGGCGAUAAUCCGCCCAGUUCCCCCUCCAGUCUCCUUGGCUUGCUCUGGGUCUGCUUCUUGAUAACAUACAAGUGAUGUAUUUGAAAGAUCUCAGCCCUUUGCUUUGAAGCCACAAUUUUUCCCUGCAUGAUUUAACACACUGCCAACAUUUCAGUGAAUAUCUUCCAAAUUUACAGUUCGGAUCCUUCCUUCUCUGAGCUCCAAACCUGUGUAUCUAGCUUCCUAAUCAGCUUCUCCACUUGGUUGUCACCAGGACCUCGAAUGGAACUCGUGCAAAGUGAGAGGCGUGCUCUCGCUGCUCGCUCCUCUUCAGGGCUCCCUGUCAUGGUGACGCUUCCAGUAAUUCCCCAAUCUGCCAUCACCCUUGGUAUGUUAACAAGUCACCAAGACUCUACUUGUGACAUGUGGAUCAAAUCUGAACAAUUCUCUCCUUUUCACUGCUGUGUUUAGUGCUAUGCUACUGCGUGUGCUUCCUAACCCACAUUCAGUGUUGUCACACUGGGAGAUUGUGGUCAACCACUGUGGGAGUAUCUCAGUUCAGUUCAGUGGCUCAGUGGUGUGUGACUCUUUGCAACCCCAUGGACUGCAGCAUGCCAGGCUUCCCUGUCCAUCAC
This is a long non-coding RNA of Bos taurus (domestic cattle), 2041 nucleotides long. The record is from Ensembl. Lineage: Eukaryota; Metazoa; Chordata; Mammalia; Artiodactyla; Bovidae.